This 520-nucleotide ribosomal RNA is filed under the name uncultured Acaulospora. Its description in RNAcentral is "SSU rRNA". It matches the Rfam family "Eukaryotic small subunit ribosomal RNA", at positions 569 to 1087 of the family's 1831-position model. Lineage: Eukaryota; Fungi; Glomeromycota; Glomeromycetes; Diversisporales; Acaulosporaceae. The record is from RNAcentral.
AGCAGCCGCGGUAAUUCCAGCUCCAAUAGCGUAUAUUAAAGUUGUUGCAGUUAAAAAGCCCGUAGUUGAAUUUCGGAAUCUGUCCGUUGGUCGGGCUUCACUGUCCGUACUGAUGUGAUGGGUUCUUACCUUCUGAAUAACCAUCAUGUCAUUAAUUUGGUGUGUUGGGGAAGCAGGACUAUUACCUUGAAAAAAUUAGAGUGCUCAAAGCAGGCUAGUGCCUGAAUACAUUAGCACGGAAUAAUAAAAUAGGACGGCAUGGUUCUAUUUUGUUGGUUUCUAGGAUCACCGUAAUGAUUAAUAGGGAUAGUUGGGGGCAUUAGUAUUCAAUUGUCAGAGGUGAAAUUCUUGGAUUUAUUGAAGACUAACUUCUGCGAAAGCAUUUGCCAAGGAUGUUUUCAUUAAUCAAGAACGAAAGUUAGGGGAUCGAAGACGAUCAGAUACCGUCGUAGUCUUAACCAUAAACUAUGCCGACUAGGGAUCGGACGAUGUUAAUUUUAUAAAUGACUCGUUCGGCGUC